CCUCGGGUCGCUCCAGUCGAGAAUCAUCCGCAAUGGGCGAAAGCCUGACGGUGCAAUGCCGCGUUGGGGAUGAAGGCCCUCGGGUCGUAAACCCCUGUCAGGAGGGACGAAGAAGUGACGGUACCUCCAGAGGAAGCCACGGCUAACUACGUGCCGGCAGCCGCGGUAAUAGCGUAGGUGGCGAGCGUUAUUCGGAUUUACUGGGCGUAAAGGGUGCGCAGGGGGUUUGCCAAGUCUGGUGUGAAAUCUCACGGCUCAACUGUGAAACUGCGCUGGAUACUGGUGAACUAGAGUGCGGGAGGGGUGAGUGGAAUUCCUGGUGUAGCGGUGGAAUGCGUAGAUAUCAGGAAGAACACCAACGGCGAAGGCAGCUCACUGGCGCGCAACUGACCCUCAUGGACGAAAGCGUGGGUAGCAAACAGGAUUAGAUACCCGAGUAGUC
RNAcentral lists this ribosomal RNA (442 nucleotides) under uncultured bacterium. Its description in RNAcentral is "partial 16S ribosomal RNA". It matches the Rfam family "Bacterial small subunit ribosomal RNA", at positions 339 to 795 of the family's 1533-position model. The record is from RNAcentral.